CGACCUCUGUUCAGGUGAGACUACCCCCUGGAUUUAAGCAUAUAAAUAAGGGGAGGAAAAGAAACUAAC
This 69-nucleotide ribosomal RNA is filed under the name Thrips formosanus. Its description in RNAcentral is "partial 28S ribosomal RNA". It matches the Rfam family "Eukaryotic large subunit ribosomal RNA", at positions 1 to 69 of the family's 3401-position model. Lineage: Eukaryota; Metazoa; Arthropoda; Insecta; Thysanoptera; Thripidae. The record is from RNAcentral.